RNAcentral lists this ribosomal RNA (919 nucleotides) under Lactiplantibacillus plantarum. RNAcentral's name for it is "bacterial SSU rRNA". It matches the Rfam family "Bacterial small subunit ribosomal RNA", at positions 623 to 1533 of the family's 1533-position model. The record is from RNAcentral. Lineage: Bacteria; Bacillati; Bacillota; Bacilli; Lactobacillales; Lactobacillaceae.
GCAUCGGAAACUGGGAAACUUGAGUGCAGAAGAGGACAGUGGAACUCCAUGUGUAGCGGUGAAAUGCGUAGAUAUAUGGAAGAACACCAGUGGCGAAGGCGGCUGUCUGGUCUGUAACUGACGCUGAGGCUCGAAAGUAUGGGUAGCAAACAGGAUUAGAUACCCUGGUAGUCCAUACCGUAAACGAUGAAUGCUAAGUGUUGGAGGGUUUCCGCCCUUCAGUGCUGCAGCUAACGCAUUAAGCAUUCCGCCUGGGGAGUACGGCCGCAAGGCUGAAACUCAAAGGAAUUGACGGGGGCCCGCACAAGCGGUGGAGCAUGUGGUUUAAUUCGAAGCUACGCGAAGAACCUUACCAGGUCUUGACAUACUAUGCAAAUCUAAGAGAUUAGACGUUCCCUUCGGGGACAUGGAUACAGGUGGUGCAUGGUUGUCGUCAGCUCGUGUCGUGAGAUGUUGGGUUAAGUCCCGCAACGAGCGCAACCCUUAUUAUCAGUUGCCAGCAUUAAGUUGGGCACUCUGGUGAGACUGCCGGUGACAAACCGGAGGAAGGUGGGGAUGACGUCAAAUCAUCAUGCCCCUUAUGACCUGGGCUACACACGUGCUACAAUGGAUGGUACAACGAGUUGCGAACUCGCGAGAGUAAGCUAAUCUCUUAAAGCCAUUCUCAGUUCGGAUUGUAGGCUGCAACUCGCCUACAUGAAGUCGGAAUCGCUAGUAAUCGCGGAUCAGCAUGCCGCGGUGAAUACGUUCCCGGGCCUUGUACACACCGCCCGUCACACCAUGAGAGUUUGUAACACCCAAAGUCGGUGGGGUAACCUUUUAGGAACCAGCCGCCUAAGGUGGGACAGAUGAUUAGGGUGAAGUCGUAACAAGGUAGCCGUAGGAGAACCUGCGGCUGGAUCACCUCCUUUCUAAGGAA